UACGGAGGGGGCUAGCGUUGUUCGGAAUUACUGGGCGUAAAGCGUACGUAGGCGGCUUUGUAAGUUAGAGGUGAAAGCCCGGGGCUCAACUCCGGAAUUGCCUUUAAGACUGCAUCGCUGGAAUCAUGGAGAGGUGAGUGGAAUUCCGAGUGUAGAGGUGAAAUUCGUAGAUAUUCGGAAGAACACCAGUGGCGAAGGCGACUCACUGGACAUGUAUUGACGCUGAGGUACGAAAGCGUGGGGAGCAAACAGG
RNAcentral lists this ribosomal RNA (253 nucleotides) under uncultured bacterium. Its description in RNAcentral is "partial 16S ribosomal RNA". It matches the Rfam family "Bacterial small subunit ribosomal RNA", at positions 524 to 776 of the family's 1533-position model. The record is from RNAcentral.